Molecule: small nucleolar RNA, 135 nt
Organism: Ornithorhynchus anatinus (platypus)
Lineage: Eukaryota; Metazoa; Chordata; Mammalia; Monotremata; Ornithorhynchidae
Source: RefSeq, a predicted model, not a curated record
UCCCUCUCAGGAUGGCAUCUGGAGAGUUUCCAGUACUCGAGCAGUCUCGAAUAUGGGAGGGAGAGUUGAGAGGCCUACCUAUUCCAUUCCUAGCUUGGACAGUGGCUAGCGAGUGGAAGACGUUCUGAUACAAGU